RNAcentral lists this ribosomal RNA (228 nucleotides) under uncultured bacterium. RNAcentral's name for it is "partial 16S ribosomal RNA". It matches the Rfam family "Bacterial small subunit ribosomal RNA", at positions 568 to 796 of the family's 1533-position model. The record is from RNAcentral.
UACGUAGGCGGAAAAUUAAGUCAGUAGUGAAAUCCUGCAGCUUAACUGUAGAACUGUUAUUGAUACUGGUUUUCUUGAAUUUAGUUGAGGUAGGCGGAAUGUGUAAUGUAGCGGUGAAAUGCUUAGAUAUUACACAGAACACCGAUUGCGAAGGCAGCUUACUAAGCUAUGAUUGACGCUGAGGUACGAAAGCGUGGGGAGCGAACAGGAUUAGAUCCCUGGUAGUCC